GACACGGUUCUAUCAACCCAGACAGGAGGACCUUGAGUUACUGCGGACUGCACAGAGUCAGUUGUCUGGCUGUAGCUACCGCAGUUCUAAUGGGGGGCUUGGCCCCGGUCCAAAAAACCUUUCGUAUUAGCUCAUUGUUAAGAUUCUAGGUCUUUACCAAGUCGCAGAGACUGUAACAGUCUGUUAAACACAGCCUUGGAGAGACACAAGGCUGCUUUUAUUUUUAGUCAUCCUAAAUGCUGUUGCUCAGCACGACUUCAUUGCAGUAAUUUUUUUAACUUCAGCGAGCGCUCUUCUAGCUGGCAAGUUCACCAGCAAUAGAGACUAGUGGAACGGGACGAUCUCGGUUCCAAACUGCUCCGACGACGAGACACCGCAGUAAAAAAAAAAAAAAAAAAAAAAGCUCCGUUUGCUGAGGAUCAUGGUAUGGGCUUAACGGCUGGAUUGUAAUCAACAGUCAAUGGAGGUGUCCCUGAGAGACGACUGCAGGAUCACUCGGGCCGCCGGAUCCAAUGGGAACUCUUGUGGAACUCCCAGUUCCUUCACUUUGGCCUGGGAGACGCACGCUCUCACUGCAAAGAUCAAAUGGAAAAGAGGAAGUCGACAUACUUUUAUUUCUGUAAUCGAGUAUAUCCUUUUGUUUGGUGUGUUUUGUUUAGUUUUUAGUUUUUUUUUUUUUGGGGGGGGGGGGGGGGGGGGGGGCUUAGGGUUAGAUAAGAUCAUGACAUGACUGGGGAAGUGUUCCUGUCUGUGUGAUGAUCAUUCUUGUUAACAUGUUAGAAUACAUAUGGGACUCUAA
Molecule: long non-coding RNA, 799 nt
Organism: Hypomesus transpacificus
Lineage: Eukaryota; Metazoa; Chordata; Actinopteri; Osmeriformes; Osmeridae
Exons: 4
Source: RefSeq, a predicted model, not a curated record